GACGAACGCUGGCGGCGUGCUUAACACAUGCAAGUCGAACGGAAAGGCCCCUUUGGGGGUACUCGAGUGGCGAACGGGUGCGUAACACGUGAGUAACCUGCCCUUGACUUCGGGAUAACUUCAGGAAACUGGGGCUAAUACCGGAUAGGAAUCCUUGCUGCAUGGUGGGGGUUGGAAAGCUUCGGCGGUUUUGGGUGGACUCGCGGCCUAUCUGCUUGUUGGUGGGGUAGUGGCUUACCAAGGCUUUGACGGGUAGCCGGCCUGAGGGGGCGACCGGCCACAUUGGGACUGAGAUACGGCCCAGACUCCUACGGGAGGCAGCAGUGGGGAAUAUUGCACAAUGGGCGGAAGCUUGAUGCAGCAACGCCGCGGGCGGGAUGACGGCCUUCGGGUUGUAAACCGCUUUCAGCAGGGGCGAAGCUUGUGGUGACGGUACCUGCAGAAGAAGCACCGGCUAACUACGUG
This 465-nucleotide ribosomal RNA is filed under the name uncultured bacterium. RNAcentral describes it as "partial 16S ribosomal RNA". It matches the Rfam family "Bacterial small subunit ribosomal RNA", at positions 28 to 507 of the family's 1533-position model. The record is from RNAcentral.